RNAcentral lists this transfer RNA (92 nucleotides) under bacterium. Its description in RNAcentral is "tRNA-Ser". It matches the Rfam family "tRNA". From Rfam's summary of the family: Transfer RNA (tRNA) molecules are approximately 80 nucleotides in length. Their secondary structure includes four short double-helical elements and three loops (D, anti-codon, and T loops). RNAcentral also lists the same sequence under 2 other names. The record is from RNAcentral.
GGAGAGGUGGCCGAGUGGUCGAAGGCGCUCGCCUGCUAAGCGAGAGUGUCGCUUAAUAGGCGACACCACGGGUUCGAAUCCCGUCCUCUCCG